RNAcentral lists this ribosomal RNA (573 nucleotides) under Bacillus licheniformis. Its description in RNAcentral is "bacterial SSU rRNA". It matches the Rfam family "Bacterial small subunit ribosomal RNA", at positions 94 to 650 of the family's 1533-position model. Lineage: Bacteria; Bacillati; Bacillota; Bacilli; Caryophanales; Bacillaceae. The record is from RNAcentral.
AGCGGCGGACGGGUGAGUAACACGUGGGUAACCUGCCUGUAAGACUGGGAUAACUCCGGGAAACCGGGGCUAAUACCGGAUGCUUGAUUGAACCGCAUGGUUCAAUUAUAAAAGGUGGCUUUUAACCUCCACUUACAGAUGGACCCGCGGCGCAUUACCAAGUUGGGGAGGUACCGCCCCACCAAGGCAACAAUGCGUACCCAACCUGAGAGGGUGAUCCGCCCCCCCGGGAAUGAAACCCGGCCCAAACUCCUACGGGAGGCAGCAGUAGGGAAUCUUCCGCAAUGGACCAAAGUCUGACGGAACAACGCCCCGGGAGUUAAGAAAGGUUUCCGGAUCGAAAAACUCUGUUGUUAGGGAAAAACAAGUACCGUUCAAAUAGGGCGGUACCUUGACGGUACCUAACCAGAAAGCCACGGCUAACUACGUGCCAGCAGCCGCGGUAAUACGUAGGUGGCAAGCGUUGUCCGGAAUUAUUGGGCGUAAAGCGCGCGCAGGCGGUUUCUUAAGUCUGAUGUGAAAGCCCCCGGCUCAACCGGGGAGGGUCAUUGGAAACUGGGGAACUUGAGUGCA